Molecule: small RNA, 987 nt
Filed under: Pan troglodytes (chimpanzee)
Lineage: Eukaryota; Metazoa; Chordata; Mammalia; Primates; Hominidae
Description: processed transcript
Source: RNAcentral
GACUCUCCAGUCCUCAGUCACCUUGGACAAAGAAGUGUGGAUCCUCAGAUUCCAUCUUUUCCAACUCCAAGGUGCCAUGGCAGAGAAGGUGCUGGUAACAGGUGGGGCUGGCUACAUUGGCAGCCACACGGUGCUGGAGCUGCUGGAGGCUGGCUACUUGCCUGUGGUCAUCGAUAACUUCCAUAAUGCCUUCCGUGGAGGGGGCUCCCUGCCUGAGAGCCUGCGGCGGGUCCAGGAGCUGACAGGCCGCUCUGUGGAGUUUGAGGAGAUGGACAUUUUGGACCAGGGAGCCCUACAGCGUCUCUUCAAAAAGGUGGGUGCAGGCUGGGCACGGUGGCUCACGCCUGUAAUUCCAGCACUUUGGAAGGCCGAGGUGAGGAGAUCACUUGAGCCCAGGUGUUCAAGACCAGCCUGCUCAACACGGUGAAACCCCAUCUCUACAGAAAAAUACAAAAAUUAGCUGGGCAUGGUAGCGCAUACCUGUGGUCCCAGCUACUCGGGAGGCUGGCAUGGGAAGAUGGCUUGAGCCUGGGAGGUGGAGGUUGCGGUGAGCUGAGAUGGCACCACUGCACUCCAGCCUGGACAACAGAGUGAGACUGUCAAAAAAAAAAAAAAAGGUGGGUGCAGGCAGGCAGGCCGAGGGCAUUGCCAAGGACAAAAACCAGUAGAGCAACCUCUGGCCAUGUCGCCCCUGCAGCACAGCUUUAUGGCGGUCAUCCACUUUGCGGGGCUCAAGGCCGUGGGCGAGUCGGUGCAGAAGCCUCUGGAUUAUUACAGAGUUAACCUGACCGGGACCAUCCAGCUUCUGGAGAUCAUGAAGGCCCACGGGGUGAAGAACCUGGUGUUCAGCAGCUCAGCCACUGUGUACGGGAACCCCCAGUACCUGCCCCUGGACGAGGCCCACCCCACGGGUGGUUGUACCAACCCUUACGGCAAGUCCAAGUUCUUCAUCGAGGAAAUGAUCCGGGACCUGUGCCAGGCAGACAA